UAUUCACAUGUUUUCACUGUGAAGUCAUCCUGAGGAAAGAAAUCUCAGAUCCGGAGCUGGAUUCAGCAUCUGCUUCAGUCUGAGCGUGGAUCAAUCACCUAGGAUUUCACUCAGGGGAAGAAAAUGUGUUUGGAUUAAAGCAGUUUGGGGAGCCCUGGAUCUUUACAAGGCUUUUACUUACCAUCCAGAAAUCAGAGGAAGCCAAUGCUAAGACCCAAUAAUCAUGUCUCCUUGUUGUCCAUCUCAACUUUUUGUUUACCACCUAAACAACCAUGACUGGAUUCUGCUUUCUCCAAAGAAUUGCUUUUCUCCUCCUCAGGGUCCUGGUGAGUGCUCAAGCCAGAGAGAAAAUAUUAUAGAAGAAAAAGAGUGGACAUGGAAGACCACGAGAAACUUUUGGAAUAAUUCAGGCAAGAAGACUAAGAUAGUGACAAUGGAAGGAAUAGAGGCAUUGAGAAUAUAUUUGCAGAAUAGAAGCACUGAGAAUAUAUUUGCAGAUAGAGCCAGCAGAACUUACUGGAAGUGGAUGGAGUCUGAUAGGAAGACUAAAGAGUCUGAUGCUGAGCCCUGAAAGCAUCCAAGAUCUAGAGACUGAGCACAGGAGUUGUAAAUCGGUAAGCAGAAGAACAACAAUGAGGCCAAAUAAGAACAAUCAGUGAAGUCUAGUGAUGUCAGGAAAAACAAAAAAUAAGAAGAGAAGUGAACCUGCUGAAUACUGUUGUAAGUUCAGGAAUACUGAAGAGAGGAAAGUUUGCUAAAUUUAAUUACUUUACCAAUUCAGAAGAAUGGUGGACCCUAAUUCUUAACUGGGUGAGUUUAGAACACUAGAGAACAGAAAAUUAUGAAGACCCUGUCUAGUUACUGACCAUACUUUCAGAAACUUAGCUGAAGAGGAGAGAGAAGUGGGAUGCGCAAUAACAAAGAAGUCAAGGAAAACUGUUUUUGCAGGUAGUUUUCAAGAUGCGAGACACUCAAGCCCAUAUAUACAAUGAUGAGAAUAAACAGGAGACAAAGCGGGGGGAGGGAGCUGAUGGUGCAGGAAGGGGGAAUAGAAGUGAAGAGUUUGACAAGAUAAGUGCGGUUAGGAUCCACAGCCUGGGCAGAAGAAUUGACCUAAGAUUAGGACUGAGGCCACUGAUCCAGAAGACCAAGUAAGUACAGAGUGUGUGCAGAGACCACCACGUGAGUAGAUUUGGUGAAAGGAAGAUGAGGAAUUCCCAGAUGACUGUUCUAAUUUCUCACUGAGUUAAGAGGCAGUAUUAUGAUUUGAGAAUAGAUGAAGGGGAUCAGGUGUUGACAAUGCAAGAGAGCAGAAAAUAUGUAAAAUAUGAUUUGAAAGAUAGGGCAAGCACACAUAUUGGAGAAGUACAGUAGAACCCAGAGACACUAUGGAAUGCCCAGUAGAGAUUGUGUCCAUGGAUUCAAAAAUAGACUAGCAACAUGACUAUGUGUUAUUUCCCCACAUUUCCCUUAGUCCAGUUCAGACAAGGAGUACUCAGGUAGUUGACUUUAACCAGGUCUAGAGUUUGCCAGGUGAGGUUGACAAAGAAAAGGCAAGGGAGUUAAAUAAACUAAAGGAGAAUGAUUAUAAUGUUGGAUAUAUUAUCUCAUCUGGCUAAGAAAAAAAAUGUGCAGACAUGAGGAGAGUAGGGGAAAAAAAAGAAAAACUGACAAGAGAAAAGAUUGGGCAUCUCCACAAGAACGAGAAAUUAUUUGAAACAGAGCACUCUAGGUGAGGAUCCAUAAGAAUAAGAAGCAUUGGUCAGAGAAUGGAAUAAAGAUAUCAAGAUUUUGAAGUGUACAAUUAUUGGUGAUCAGUAGUAUAUGCAUAGGCAGAGAUAGGAUGGGAGGAAAGGUGCUUAGAAAUGAGAAAGUCACUGAACUGAGAGGCCAGAUGUUGUCUCAGUUGUGUUUAAGGAUGUUGAAGCAAGCACCAAAGGUUCCAGGAGUGAGACAGAAAUGAAGGACUUGGUACAGUCUUCAGUGGACCAGGGGAAGUGACCAGAAAGUUAAGAUGAUGACAGCAACAAACAAAUGUACUAGGCGGUAUUGUCUCAAGGUGUGAAUUUCAAAUAGCUGGAUGUUGGGAAGAGAGACAGAAGAGGAAUUGUUGAAAAUGACAAACUGAGAGCAAGGAGUAUAUCUCUUCCAAGUCUCAGCCCAGAGAAAAGUAUGUUCAGAGAGAAACAAAGAGCCUCCAGUUGACAGGAAAAUCAACAUUUUCAGGGAAAAGUCAGGUUCUAAUCAGAACAUGAAAGUGAGGGGAACAGUGCAGGGCAUAAGAGACUUUGAAGAUGAUGGGUUUUAAAUUCCAGCAGUCUCUCCAGAACAUUUUGGGAGAGUGAGAUGAGGAAGACAGAUUAAGCACAUCAUAGUUAAUGAAAAGCCUAGAGGACAGGAUCAGCCCCAAAAACUGGGAUCCUGAGGGCCUCUUAUAAGAGACAAAUUAAAGCAGAAAGUCAUGGAGACAUGAGGCCACUGACUUCUGAGCAGUUCCUCAUGGUGCAGCAGUCAAAGAGACAAAUUGCUCUUUAACAGGAAUGUUUUCCUGGGCCUUCCCACAGAGAGGUAUCUGGCUCUGCUCACCAUUCCAGGGAAACCCUGAGCCACUCUCCCACCCUUUUCUGCUCUGGCCAUGAUGGGAUUUUCUCAGUGCUUCAAAGAUACCAUGUUUCCUCCCACCUCAGUACAUACAUUGAACCACGUGAUCCUCCACUUUCUUCCUCUGAGGAACUCUUACCCUUCAGCUUUUCAUCUAGGUAUGAUUUCUUCUUUUACCCCAAUUCCACACUUCCACAGCACUUUCUAACUCUUCAUGAAAUUUCUGCCUAAUGAGAGUUUUCAACACUGAACUGUAUGCUCUGUGAUGGCAGAGACUACAUUUUCUUGUCUUCCUCAUCCUCCUGCCUACAGUAUAAAUUUGUGCCUAUAGGCACUCAGUCACUAUCUACGGGAAGACUGAUUGGAGAAUGAGGCAUUCCGGAGUAAAAUACCAUUAGCUUAAGAGACAAAACAAUCAGGGUGGAUUCCUUACUUGGUUCCUUAUUUACUUUAACAUGUUGGGAUAUCACUUAACUACUCCUAAUUAAUUAGCAAGUUUAUCAGGGUAUUACUCAUGUUCAAUGCGAUCCUUCUGGUAUUUUUCACAUAGGCUGCUAUUGACACAGAUCUCCUUAUUUUUUCCUGUGAAAGAAGACUGGAAUAUGUAAAUUAAGCAAUCAUCCAAACUUCAUUUUGUAGUCUUAUCUUAAACUCAUUCCUUAGAUUUGAAGAUAUAAAAUCUCAGUAACAACAUUCCACAGGACUGGGACAGACACAUGGAAACAGACAGUAAGUUACCUGCACACGAGAUAUAAGCUUCCUCUCUUGAAGAGCAUGAGUUGUGUCUCCAGGGGUCAGAAGGACAUUGCCAGAGAGAGGAAUCAGUUUUCCGACACUCAAUUUGAUCCACCCACCGAAGUCUAGAACCUUCCCUGGGAACUAUGGAAGAGUUGAGGGUCCCACUGUCUCCACAGCCAAGCUGUCUACAGAUGAUGGACAAAGUCAUGGCUGCCAUGGGGCUGUGGCAGACACUGCCCCAGGUCCCAUUGUAGAAAACUUCCAGCCACCCAGCACACUCCUGGUCCUCGCUCACCAUCCUGAGUUUCAGGAAGUCUAAAUUGAAAGGGGUGAGAAGGGGAAACAAUCCACAAUAAGCAUUCCAUUCAAUGCUCUUGAUUUUUUUUCUCCAUGCCAGAGAUUGUGAACACUCAUCACUGACUCUGCUGAGUAAGCACACAUUAGGUGGUAAGACUGAAAUUGGUCUCCCUUUUACCUGAUUUUGUGUGUUUGUGUCUGUGUUUCUAUGACCACAAUGAUGCAGUAGAAUAUGAUCAGAGAGGAAUACCCACCUGGGCACUUUACACAGAGGGAAAGCUGAAUCUUGCUUCCUGACAAGACUUCUGAAAGAGUAUGUGAAAGUGGGGAGGUAGGCAGAAAAAUGGCCCCCCAAAGGUGUUGCAUAAAUGUGCUACUUUACAUGGCAAAGGAGACUUUACAGAUGUGAUUCAGAUAAGGACCUUGGGAUGGUGAGAUUAACCUGGAGUAGUGUGGGUUAACCAGGUGAAAACCCAAUCACAUCCUUAGACCUACUCUCCUUAAAAAAUGGGAAAUCUUUCCCAGCUUCAGUCAGAAGGAAAUGUGACUGUGGAAGAAUGGUCAGAAGCAGGCAACAUUGUCAGCUUGAAGGGAAAAAAAGGGAGCCAGUGAAUGCACAGGGCCUUAAGAAACUGGAAAAGAUAGGGACAAGGAAUCUCCCCUAGGGCCCCCAGAAAGAAUGCAGUCCUGUCCACACCUUGAUUUUAGCACAGUGAGACCCUUGUUGGACUUCUAGCAUACAAAACUGUACAUUAAUAAAUUUGUGUUGUUUCUACCAUUAAGUAUGUGGUAAUGCAUUUCAACAGCAAUAGGAUCUCAAGACUUUACCACCAUAGUGAACUGAAGAAUGAGCCCUGCUUUCGAAUGGAAGUCACCUGAACCUCAGCUGUGGGAGGAAAAGAAAGCACCUAAUCUUCACAUCUAGAAAGACAGGCAGGGGCAGCCCCGGUGGCGCAGCGGUUUAGCGCCGCCUGCAGCCCAGGGCGUGAUCCUGGAGACCCUGGAUCGAGUCCCACGUCAGGCUCUCUGUAUGGUGCCUGCUUCUCCCUCUGCCUCUCUCUCUGUCUCAAUAAAUAAAUAAAAUCUUAAAAAAAAAAAUAGA
Molecule: long non-coding RNA, 4738 nt
Organism: Canis lupus familiaris (dog)
Lineage: Eukaryota; Metazoa; Chordata; Mammalia; Carnivora; Canidae
Exons: 3
Source: RefSeq, a predicted model, not a curated record